UUCACAGUCAUCUUCCGUUAUCUGUGUCACCAUCAUCUCAUGUCUUCUCUGGCAGCACCUCUGCCCAUGCAGCUCCCUUGCCAGACAGCCUCCUUGGGUUGGAGGCAGCAGCGCAGCAGGCCUUGGUGGCUGCAGGGGUGGCAGGCCCCAUGCUUACUGUGGCUGUGUCAGUGAGACUUCAUUUUCAAGCCCCAGAUGUGUGUCCAAAGAACUUGCAUGUUCUCCUGAGCAUGUGCUACUGCUCUGUAUGGAGGUCAGCCACCAGCACCACUCUCCUGUGCAACGUGGAGAGCAGGGCAGAGACAGCGGGCCCAGACUCGAGCAGACAGCAAGUGAAAUCGAAGAGUGGUGGAAGACAGUGGUUUAAGCUGGAGCGGGGUUGUUGGGACUUCUGCCGUACAUCUUGACCCAUGAGCACAUCACUGAGUUCAGUGGAUUUUACAUAUCUUGCCUCAUUGGUACCAGAAUGUAAAUCUUCACUGGAAUAUACUUAGAAAGAUUAAAAUCAGAUGACAGCGUGAAGGUGCACUGCAUGGUUUCUCCCGUGUGACUUUCAGUCUGCGCUUCCUUUCUUAUGUUACAGUUCAGAUUAACAAUUAAUUUCAUUUGAUGUAAAUUCACUGCAAUUAGACAAAUUAGCAAGUAGUUGGCUGUACUGAUUUUCCAGUCUUCUAAAAUGUACUUGCCUUCAAAUUGUAUUUGUCUCCAUAAAAAAAUUGUUAUAUAUUUGAUUAUUAAUGCAUUUAUGCAGUGAUAAUGACUGUUGCAAUUUUCAUUCUGAAGAUAUCUUAAUCUGUAGCUACCAUUUUGAUCUGCUUUCCUGUACUCGUACUACUAAUUUACUAGUCAUUAAACUGUUUUGAAAACCCUG
RNAcentral lists this long non-coding RNA (871 nucleotides) under Numida meleagris (helmeted guineafowl). Its description in RNAcentral is "lncRNA (ENSNMEG00000018402.1)". The record is from RNAcentral. Lineage: Eukaryota; Metazoa; Chordata; Aves; Galliformes; Numididae.